Molecule: ribosomal RNA, 274 nt
Filed under: uncultured bacterium
Lineage: Bacteria
Description: partial 16S ribosomal RNA
Rfam family: Bacterial small subunit ribosomal RNA
Source: RNAcentral
AUACGGAGGGAGCGAGCGUUAAUCGGAAUUUCUGGGCGUAAAGCGCGCGUAGGCGGCUUUGUCAGUCGGAUGUGAAAGCCCUGGGCUUAACCUGGGAAUGGCAUUCGAUACUGCAGAGCUAGAGUAUGGUAGAGGGAAGUGGAAUUUCCGGUGUAGCGGUGAAAUGCGUAGAUAUCGGAAGGAACACCAGUGGCGAAGGCGACUUCCUGGGCCAAUACUGACGCUGAGGUGCGAAAGCGUGGGGAGCAAACAGGAUUAGAGACCCCAGUAGUCC